GGGGUUGUCUGUGGCUUCAUAUUUGUCUCCUUCUGGGAAGCCAGUGGCAGACCUAGGUGCACAAUAAAAUGUUAAGGGAAUUUGGGGGGUUCUCCCAUGCCCAGCACGUGCUGGGGAGUGUGCUGAGUGGCUGGGGUUGAGGAAGUGGUCAGUGCUGCUGGCUCAGUCAUGUCCAGGCCCUUGUCUCAAUGGUGUUCUACCUUGAAACAGUGGGGGUCAGAUGGGGGUGGUGGUUCACACCUAGAAUCCUGGUUCUCUGGGAGGCUGAGGCAAAAGGACCCCAAGUUUGAGCCGACCCAGGCAACUUAGCAAGACCGUCUCAAAAUAAAAAAUAAAGGAAAGGCUGGGGAUGUUGCUCAGCACAGAGACCCUAGGUUCAGUCCCCAGCACACAAAAGUGGGGCUCAAGAUCUUCAGCACUGUUUUCCACAGUCCAACUGUUGUGGCAAAGCAGAACGGCUCAGUGCUAUAGCCCAGUGUUACUGAUCCCAGGCACAGCCGAGUGUUAUAACUCAGCGUCGCAGUUACUGAAAUUUAAAGACUUGAGAAUCUGAAGUUCACUUGAAGAAGUGGAGAAAAGCCUUUUACUAUGCCGGAGUGCUCAGUGGAGUUCAUACUCAGAAAUCUGAGGAAAGGACUAGAAGUGGGAGCCUCCUUACGUAGGAGUCCAGGGCUAGGUGUGCAUGCUCACUGAAGCAAAGGGGCGGAGUUACAGAACAUUCCCGAGAGGCGCAGUUCAAACUGUUACAAAACAUUUUGAUACAUUGGGCAAGAGAGCUGCCUGGCUGCACAGACCAUUACAUUUCUGCAGCAAAACAUGUUGUGGGAGGGACAUGGAGAGGAAGAAAAGGCGCAGAGGUCGGGUGCUUACCUCACAGUACACAGCCGGAGACGCAGAUGCCGAGAUCUGGUCCCAGACCUCCCACAGGAACUUGUGCGGCACAUGUGUCCUCUGCCCAGCCGGCCAGCUCUGAAGAGGGAGAGCUGGGAAGGAAGGGACACCGGUGGGCCAGGAUGGUCUGUAUCUUCCUUUCAUGUUUUCAUGUAAGUGGCCCAAACACAGUCAUGUUAUCGGGUAGGUUGUUUCCAAAAAGUGGCUCGCCAACUAAAUGUUACCAGGUUCUGGGUUGCUCGCC
Heterocephalus glaber (naked mole-rat) is the source of this 1135-nucleotide long non-coding RNA. The record is from Ensembl. Lineage: Eukaryota; Metazoa; Chordata; Mammalia; Rodentia; Bathyergidae.